Molecule: ribosomal RNA, 253 nt
Filed under: uncultured bacterium
Lineage: Bacteria
Description: partial 16S ribosomal RNA
Rfam family: Bacterial small subunit ribosomal RNA
Source: RNAcentral
UACGUAGGGGGCUAGCGUUGUCCGGAAUCAUUGGGCGUAAAGCGCGUGUAGGCGGUUCGGUAAGUCCGCUGUGAAAGUCGGGGGCUCAACCCUCGAAUGCCGGUGGAUACUGUCGAACUAGAGUGCGGAAGAGGCGAGUGGAAUUCCUGGUGUAGCGGUGAAAUGCGCAGAUAUCAGGAGGAACACCAAUUGCGAAGGCAGCUCGCUGGGACGGUACUGACGCUGAGACGCGAAAGCGUGGGGAGCAAACAGG